AUGCCUAACACAUGCAAGUCGAACGAGACCUUCGGGUUUAGUGGCGCACGGGUGCGUAACGCGUGGGAAUCUGCCCUUGGGCUCGGAAUAACAGUUGGAAAUGACUGCUAAUACCGGAUGAUGACGAAAGUCCAAAGAUUUAUCGCCGAGGGAUGAGCCCGCGUAGGAUUAGGUAGUUGGUGAGGUAAAGGCUCACCAAGCCGAUGAUCCUUAGCUGGUCUGAGAGGAUGAUCAGCCACACUGGGACUGAGACACGGCCCAGACUCCUACGGGAGGCAGCAGUGGGGAAUAUUGGACAAUGGGCGAAAGCCUGAUCCAGCAAUGCCGCGUGAGUGAUUAAGGCCUUUGGGUUGUAAAGUUCUUUUACCCGGGAUGAUAAUGACAGUACCGGGAGAAUAAGCCCCGGCUAACUCCGUGCCAGCAGCCGCGGUAAU
This 434-nucleotide ribosomal RNA is filed under the name uncultured Sphingomonas sp. RNAcentral's name for it is "bacterial SSU rRNA". It matches the Rfam family "Bacterial small subunit ribosomal RNA", at positions 44 to 524 of the family's 1533-position model. The record is from RNAcentral. Lineage: Bacteria; Pseudomonadati; Pseudomonadota; Alphaproteobacteria; Sphingomonadales; Sphingomonadaceae.